UACGGGAGGCAGCAGUGAGGAAUAUUGGUCAAUGGACGAGAGUCUGAACCAGCCAAGUAGCGUGCAGGAUGACUGCCCUAUGGGUUGUAAACUGCUUUUAUGCGGGAAUAAAGUCAGGUACGUGUACCUGUUUGUAUGUACCGCAUGAAUAAGGACCGGCUAAUUCCGUGCCAGCAGCCGCGGUAAU
Molecule: ribosomal RNA, 187 nt
Filed under: uncultured rumen bacterium
Lineage: Bacteria
Description: partial 16S ribosomal RNA
Rfam family: Bacterial small subunit ribosomal RNA
Source: RNAcentral